RNAcentral lists this ribosomal RNA (253 nucleotides) under uncultured bacterium. Its description in RNAcentral is "partial 16S ribosomal RNA". It matches the Rfam family "Bacterial small subunit ribosomal RNA", at positions 524 to 776 of the family's 1533-position model. The record is from RNAcentral.
UACGUAGGCAGCAAGCGUUGUUCGGAGUUAUUGGGCGUAAAGGGCUCGUAGGCGGUCUGUCGCGUCGGUAGUGAAAACUCAGGGCUUAACCCUGAGCCUGCUUCCGAUACGGGCAGACUAGAGGUAUGCAGGGGAGAAUGGAAUUCCUGGUGUAGCGGUGAAAUGCGCAGAUAUCAGGAGGAACACCGGUGGCGAAGGCGGUUCUCUGGGCAUUACCUGACGCUGAGGAGCGAAAGUGUGGGGAGCGAACAGG